AGAGUUUGAUCAUGGCUCAGAAUCAACGCUGGCGGCGUGCCUAACACAUGCAAGUCGAACGUGAAAGGGGCUUCGGCCCCGAGUAAAGUGGCAAACGGGUGAGUAACGCGUGGGUGAUCUGCCUUUGAGUGGGGGAUAACCUUCCGAAAGGAGGGCUAAUACCGCAUGACAUCCUGUUCUUGGAUGAACGGUGAUCGAAGCUGGGGACCGCAAGGCCUGGCGCUUGAAGAGGAGCCCGCGUCCGAUUAGCUAGUUGGUGGGGUAAUGGCCUACCAAGGCGACGAUCGGUAGCCGGCCUGAGAGGGCGGACGGCCACACUGGGACUGAGACACGGCCCAGACUCCUACGGGAGGCAGCAGUGGGGAAUUGUUCGCAAUGGGCGCAAGCCUGACGACGCAACGCCGCGUGGGGGAUGAAGGUCUUCGGAUUGUAAACCCCUGUUGGGUGGGACGAACACUUCCGUGGUGAAUAUCCAUGGAGGCUGACGGUACCACCUGAGGAAGCCCCGGCUAACUCUGUGCCAGCAGCCGCGGUAAUACAGAGGGGGCAAGCGUUGUUCGGAAUUACUGGGCGUAAAGGGCGCGUAGGCGGCCUGUUAAGUCGGACGUGAAAUCCCUCGGCUCAACCGGGGAACUGCGUCUGAUACUGGCGGGCUUGAAUUCGGGAGAGGGAUGUGGAAUUCCAGGUGUAGCGGUGAAAU
Molecule: ribosomal RNA, 700 nt
Filed under: uncultured bacterium
Lineage: Bacteria
Description: bacterial SSU rRNA
Rfam family: Bacterial small subunit ribosomal RNA
Source: RNAcentral